AAACACCCUUCUAUUUGGAGAGGAAAAGCCUGGAAUCCAUCUGGGGAAAGCUGGAGGAAGGGGAAUGGCCAGCGGACCCUAGAUGCAGCCUUGGGUGGAGGAACAGAGCCCCGGAGUCCAGAGACAGCGAGCUCUGAGAUCCCAUUCUCCUCUUGCCUCUCAUCCUGUGCCACCAUUAUGGACAGACCACCAGGAACCCAGAGAGAGAGGAAGCCCGCCGGAGCGAGGGACGGCACUCAUUUCUAUUCUACAGCGCAGCAUGGCAAGCUGAGGAUCAGCCGAGGGUGCCCUGAGGUCUAGAGGAUGAUUGAAAGUGGCAGGUAUCCCCGACGUGAAUACUUGAUCCUUCAAUUAAAAAGGGAGUGAGGGGAGCUCUCACCAUGCUGAAUAAGGCCUAUUACCGCGUGGCUCUCCUAAAAAUGGAACCAGCGGAGUCUAAAACAGACUGUGCUUGGGAAAUUCUGCCUGACACACUGAUUGGAGGUGUUUCAUAAAACUUACACGGGGGCUUGCUCAAAACUGUCAAGCAGCUCCCCUAAGUGACUCGCUGAGUUCUGUGAUCUGUUUCACCUAUUAAAACUGAG
RNAcentral lists this long non-coding RNA (584 nucleotides) under Fukomys damarensis (Damara mole-rat). RNAcentral's name for it is "lncRNA (ENSFDAG00000033345.1)". The record is from RNAcentral. Lineage: Eukaryota; Metazoa; Chordata; Mammalia; Rodentia; Bathyergidae.